Leptopilina heterotoma is the source of this 337-nucleotide long non-coding RNA. RefSeq lists it as uncharacterized. Lineage: Eukaryota; Metazoa; Arthropoda; Insecta; Hymenoptera; Figitidae. The record is from RefSeq and is a predicted model, not a curated record. The transcript has 2 exons.
UGAAGCGAUAAUUAAGUAUAUAUGUAUAUCUAUUACUGAGAUGUAACUUGGGUUGCCGGGUUGUGAAUUUUGGUGGAAAAUGCGCGAAUUUUAAUGACGUAUUUAAAACUGCCUAUCGGUGUCUUUGGUCUGUCGUGAAAUGUGGGAAGUAGGGAGAAAUUCUGGAAAAUCGCUGUCGGUUCUCAGGACGAUGAUUUUGUGUUUCUCACUUCGUCAUCGUGCCUCAUUUCGGACAGCGGGGUCUGUGCCACAUUCUCACGUGCCAGCCGCGGACACUGAUAGUGUGGCGAUUAAAUAGUGGGCAGAUUAUAUAAUAAAGCAUCGAGCAAAUUCUCAU